Molecule: ribosomal RNA, 485 nt
Filed under: uncultured bacterium
Lineage: Bacteria
Description: partial 16S ribosomal RNA
Rfam family: Bacterial small subunit ribosomal RNA
Source: RNAcentral
AUUGAACGCUGGCGGCAGGCCUAACACAUGCAAGUCGAGCGGAUGAAGGGAGCUUGCUCCUGGAUUCAGCGGCGGACGGGUGAGUAAUGCCUAGGAAUCUGCCUGGUAGUGGGGGAUAACGUCCGGAAACGGGCGCUAAUACCGCAUACGUCCUGAGGGAGAAAGUGGGGGAUCUUCGGACCUCACGCUAUCAGAUGAGCCUAGGUCGGAUUAGCUAGUUGGUGGGGUAAAGGCCUACCAAGGCGACGAUCCGUAACUGGUCUGAGAGGAUGAUCAGUCACACUGGAACUGAGACAAGGUCCAGAAUCCUAAGGGAGGCAGCAGUGGGGAAUAUUGGACCAUGGGGGAAAGGCUGAUCCAGCCAUGCCGCGUGUGUGAAGAAGGUCUUCGGAUUGUAAAGCACUUUAAGUUGGGAGGAAGGGCAGUAAGUUAAUACCUUGCUGUUUUGACGUUACCAAAAGAAUAAGCACCGGCUAACUUCGUGC